This 663-nucleotide long non-coding RNA is filed under the name Homo sapiens (human). RNAcentral's name for it is "non-protein coding lnc-ANKRD10-7:1". The record is from RNAcentral. Lineage: Eukaryota; Metazoa; Chordata; Mammalia; Primates; Hominidae.
AAAAGUGGAACAAAUUGGGCUGUGAAGUUUUGCCUCAUCUGCCAUAUUCACCUGACCUCUCACCAACCAACUACCAUUUCUUCAAGCAUCUCGACAACUUUUUGCAGGGAAAACGCUUCCACAACCAGCAGGAUGCAGAAAGUGCUUUCCAAGAGUUUGUCAAAUCCUGAAGCACAGAUUUUUACGCUACAAGAAUAAAACUUAUUUCUCACUGGUGAAAAUGUGUUGACUGGAAUGGUCUUGAUUAAUAAAGAUGUGUCUGAGCCUAGUUACCCUGUCACCAGGAGGCUCAGGUUUUCCUCCUUGGCCUGGCAUCUGAAGGCCGCAAGCCAAGGAAAAGGCCAUCCACAGUGACCCUCAGUGCCCCAGAAACCCAGUCCCUCAGGCUCGGCUCACCAAGGCCAAUCACAGCACCCCAUCCCCACCCUGUUCUCCCAGUUUCAAGUUGAAGGCGUCUAAGAGACUGCUCCACGAAUGCCAGCCAAAACCAAAGCAGUUUAGCUACAAGGACAAUUCCAUAGUGUGGUAAAUAUAAAGCGUCACCCAAAUAAAAGGCAUUUUGGCAGAUACAUAACAAUAUUAAAACAUCAGGGCUAAAAGUUAGGGACUCAGAUCCCUCAGAAUGGAAAAGUCUCUCUAAACAAGCAAGAUCUGGCUCAGGGC